RNAcentral lists this ribosomal RNA (1286 nucleotides) under human oral metagenome. RNAcentral describes it as "bacterial LSU rRNA". It matches the Rfam family "Bacterial large subunit ribosomal RNA", at positions 1640 to 2925 of the family's 2925-position model. The record is from RNAcentral.
GCCCGUACCGUAAACCGACACAGGUGGGUGGGAUGAGUAUUCUAAGGCGCGUGGAAGAACUCUCUUUAAGGAACUCUGCAAAAUAGCACCGUAUCUUCGGUAUAAGGUGUGCCUAGCUUCGUUAAGAAUUUACUUCGUAAGCGAAGAAGGUUACAACAAAGAGUCCCUCCCGACUGUUUACCAUAAACACAGCACUCUGCUAACUCGUAAGAGGAUGUAUAGGGUGUGACGCCUGCCCGGUGCUCGAAGGUUAAUUGAUGAUGUUAGCUUACGCAAAGCAUCUGAUCGAAGCCCGAGUAAACGGCGGCCGUAACUAUAACGGUCCUAAGGUAGCGAAAUUCCUUGUCGGUUAAAUACCGACCUGCAUGAAUGGCGUAACGAGAUGGGAGCUGUCUCAAAGAGGGAUCCAGUGAAAUUGUAGUGGAGGUGAAAAUUCCUCCUACCCGCGGCAAGACGGAAAGACCCCGUGGACCUUUACUAUAGCUUGACACUGCUACUUGGAUAAAGAUGCGCAGGAUAGGUGGGAGGCUUUGAGUCGUAGAUCUCGGUUUACGAUGAGCCAUUGUUGAGAUACCACUCUUCUUUAUUCGGGUAGCUAACUAGCCUAAGUUAUCCUUAGGUAGGACAAUGUCUGGUGGGUAGUUUGACUGGGGCGGUCGCCUCCCAAAAUGUAACGGAGGCUUACAAAGGUUGGCUCAAAGCGGUUGGAAAUCGCUUGCAGAGUAUAAAGGCAAAAGCCAGCUUAACUGCGAGACAUACACGUCGAGCAGAGACGAAAGUCGGUCUUAGUGAUCCGGUGGUUCUGUGUGGAAGGGCCAUCGCUCAAAGGAUAAAAGGUACCCCGGGGAUAACAGGCUGAUCUCCCCCAAGAGCUCACAUCGACGGGGAGGUUUGGCACCUCGAUGUCGGCUCAUCGCAUCCUGGGGCUGUAGUCGGUCCCAAGGGUUGGGCUGUUCGCCCAUUAAAGCGGUACGCGAGCUGGGUUCAGAACGUCGUGAGACAGUUCGGUCCCUAUCUGCCGUGGGCGUAAGAAGAUUGAGGAGAGUUGACCCUAGUACGAGAGGACCGGGUUGAACCGACCACUGGUGUACCGGUUGUUCUGCCAAGAGCACCGCCGGGUAGCUAAGUCGGGAUGCGAUAAGAGCUGAAAGCAUCUAAGCUCGAAGCCGACUCCAAGAUGAAUCUUCUUUUAAGAGCUCUAGUAGACUACUAGUUUGAUAGGCCGGAUGUGUAAUGGAUGAAAGUCCUUUAGCUGACCGGUACUAAUAGCUCGUUUGCUUAUCUUU